Molecule: long non-coding RNA, 1394 nt
Filed under: Cricetulus griseus (Chinese hamster)
Lineage: Eukaryota; Metazoa; Chordata; Mammalia; Rodentia; Cricetidae
Description: lncRNA (ENSCGRG00015039634.1)
Source: RNAcentral
UUUCUCUUCCAAAAGACUCGUUUGUCACCCAGAGCUCACGACUGCAGAAAAUUCCAGCUCUCAGCCAUGAAUCCUGGUUUUGCCUGGGUGGAGGGCUCUUAGGAGUCCCCAGGGAGCUGCUGGCUGCUGGCGUAGACCUGUGUUCCUAUUGCUGGUAACACAUCAGGUAGGCAGAAACAGCAAAAUGGAGAAACCUCUACUACAGAAAUGUUUUAUGUUGAAUGGGGAAAUGCAGGAGUCUUGAACAUAACAGGAUUAUAUUGCCUCUGCAGGAGUACAUCCAUGAGUAAUGAGGUGUUGUGGCUUCUCCAGCUUCAACUUUCUUUGUUCAACUUUCUGUCUCCCCACCGCAUGUGGUCCAGUGACUUCCUCAGCAGCGUUGAACAGACAAUUCAUUAUCUCCCUACAGUUUGAAACACCGGCAUUAUUGAAGAUGGAUAGAAAGUGGAAAAAUGAUGGGGUGAUGGGAGAGAAAUCACGAGAAAAGAGGCUUUGAUGUUGCAGAUAAGAGACUGGCAAGCUCGAGAAGAAGCCGACUGGAAAUGAGCUCCAUUAGGAGAGGGCAUCCUGACCAUGGGGCCAUGACUGGCCUUGAAGUGAGAGAGGACACAGGAGCAAGAGGACAUCUUGGCAGAGACCACAGAGCAUGGCUUUCCUGCUGGGUGCUGUAGUGUAACCUGCAAUCCAACAUUUGGUGGAGGGGGGUGAGGGGCGGGUGAGGGAAAGGUAGGAGGGGGUGUGGAGGCAGGAGAAACAGGAGUUCAAGGAUAGUCUCAGCUAUAUAGCAAGCUUGAGGUCCAUCUGAGUUACAUGAGAUCCUGUCCUGUGACGAUAUCUUGAUUGUACAAAUAAAGCCUGUCUAAAGAUCAGAGGAUGGAACUUGCCACUAGCUAAACCUAAAGGUUGGAGGUCUGUACAGACAGACAGGAAGUGAGAUGUCUGGGCAGAGGGAGGAAAUGAGAUGGCCGGGGCAGAGAGGAUUUGAAGGGACCAGCUUCCCAUUUCAGCAGCCAUAACAGCCUAACAUGUGCUUGUCUGACCUUGCCUUGGUCACUAGGAGGUCAGAUGCCUGCCUCAUGGCAAGGAACCAAUCAGAAGUUAGCUGGUAGUGCUAUCCUUUACGGCUCUGUGUGUGCUUUAUGGACAAGUGCACAGCAAUGACGUGCAGAGCACAGCAAUCACCCUGGGAGGGGCUAUGGGCCAUAACAACCAGUUGACCAAUCAACACAGAGCAAGUCCUCCAAGCCUGGAGGCACACCAAUCCUGAGCCUAUGUGUACCCCUAGACACUCCCCUUACACUGCCCUAUAAGAUCUCUAUCCCGUGGCUUCUCAGAAUCUUUUCCCAGCCAUCUGCCAUGGUGGAUGGAUGAAAUGCCCAAGCUAACAUGGGGUU